CACCCCAAACACAACUUUUAUGUAAUGGGAAUCCUAAACAAAUAUGCUAUUUUUUUCUUGGUUUUACCCAGAAUGAUUACUAAAACAUUUUUUGAGAUAUUGCAGGAUGUAAUGGUUUAGUUAGCAUGUGUGUGUGUGUUCUUGUCUUUGUUUUUCACUUUCAUGUCUUUUAUUUUGGAGUUACAAUCUUGUCAUGUCUUUUAUUUUGAAGAUUCUUUUUUUUUCUGUAUUAUUGUUUCCACUUUACAAAUUACUCUUGUCUUUAGGCCUGGUAGUGGAUUAUACUGAACAUUUGAAUGAGAUUCUCUCCCAUACAUUGCGUCCUACUGGAAUGGCCAGUUUGCCGACAUUCCAUGGAAGAAAGUGUUGUCAUCUAAAUAUUUAACCAAUAAGUGACCUGGUCAGUGGUGGCUACGUUUUAUAUGAUGUGACAGAAAAAGAUGACCAAUAUGUGAGGCGACUCUCUCUAUCCUGAAAAACAUCCCUCAGGACCAUUGACUGUCUGUUGAGGUUAUUGUAAGUUUUGGGGCUUUAUUACGUUAGAUGGCCGACAAUUGACCAACAAUAAGCUGAACAAUUGUGAGCUUAUAAAAAAAAAAGUAUUAGAUAUAUAUUGCAACUCUCAUCACCUUGUACAAUGUCUUGGUUAUGAGAGGAAGUUUCAGAGUUUCUAAAACUUGCCACUGUAAUAAAAAGAAAGGUUUUUUUUGUUUGUUUGUUUAAUGUACUGAGAGCUUUAUUCAUCAUAUUGAUUAAUAUUAUGAACACGAGAGGCACGUGAAUAUGAACUUCUGACAUGUUUAUGAUUGAUGUCCAUUCAAAAUACCUAUAGGCCUUAAUGUUUACUUAAAAAGUUUGGCUUUAGGCCAUGCAUGGCUAACCAUAGUCAUAUAUCAUGCAGUUGAUGUGUAGUUUCCAUAUAUGUAGGUAUUUAUUUGUGCACUAUGUACCGAAUGGUCCUUAAAUGUGCAGCACGCCACAAUUGUAAAGCCAAUCUUUUUGAGAACAUGAGAAAGAGGAUGCCUGUAACAAAUGUUCUGAGUAGUUAUGGUGUUUUGUGUGUAUUUUAAAGCCCACAUGUCUCAAGUGAAGCAGUCAAGUGGCAUGGAAAUCCAGUUAAAGCUACAUUAGGCAAGUGCUAUUCACACAGACACACUCACAACACAAAAACACAUGCAAAUCCACUCAUAAUGGCUACAUAAUGGAAAUUGUAGUAUGUCGCCACAAAAACUAGCCUACUGUGAAUGGCCACAAUGACUUGCACAAACAUGCAAAUCCUGUUGGUCUGUGUAAAGACGGCAGUAUAAGCCCCUUUCUCGUUCACAAUAACAUUUGGUGAUAUUAUGUCGGAAUCCUGUUAUCACACAUCAAUAGAGAAGGACCACAAGCGGGGGAGCCCUUCAGGACAAAAAAACAACAGCUUCAAACGGCUGUCGAGAAUGUAUGCGUGUGCUCGUCCAACAGUCUUUGAAAAAUAAAGACUCACUGAUGAAAGACAAGCCCACACUCUGAAUAGGUUAACGUAGCAAUGAGACUCAAUUAGCUGGAUUGCUAAAUCGAGCCGUGUCCACAAAAACAACACUCGAGUUGUGACCAAGACUACGAUAGACUGGUACGUACAAUGAAAACGCUUUUGUUUCUUCCUCCCUUCUGUCUUAUCCUUCUAAAUGAGCUGGGAACAUAUUUUGACACAAAAAGACACCGAGAGACUUUUCAAGAUGCAGAGGAUGCAACCAGCCUCUUUUGUGGUGGAUUAGUAUGUGUUAGAGAAAAUUAGCAUUCGCACGUUUCUCUAGCAUGACACACGCUUGUACGCAUUCAGCUCGCCCAGCUGUCUCCCUUCAGUAUGCCAGCACGACCCGCUGGUCCCCGUGUGUGGACAAUGCCCUCACACCAUAAUUAGCUCUGCCAGUCAAGUGUCUCAAAUUGGAUUAUCCGCAGUUCUUUUGGGGUUUCUUCAUAUCAGAGGAAUUCACCACAUAAAGCUCCAGAUUGAGAGAGUCUCGGAGGGUCCUGUGAGAGGGCCCAAAUGGUACAAUGUUCAGGCCAUAGCCCCACGGUUUUCCACCCACCAGGGUGCCCCCAUAAACCAGACAAUUGCAUUAUUCUCACUAAGUAGCGUGGUGGGAUAAACACAAAUGGCCAUGCCUUAGAUUUGUGGGCUGCUGGUUUUUGCCACAAGAGAAAGACUGAUGAGAGAGUACUUGAGGAGACAAUUAUUGAUCACUAUCUUUGUCAGCACCACGGCGACCCGAUUCGAAAGCCUCAGUGUGAUAAUCCAUUGUUUCUGUCAUAAACUUAUGGAACAAGCAUAUUUUGGUUUUGUUUGAAGGAGGCUGAAAUGAAAUGUUGGCAUAAUAAAGUAGUUUUCUCGGGUUUUGUUUACUCAGCUACAUACCAGCACAAAUAUACAAAGAAUGAGAGAUGGAAGAAAUGAAUCCAAAUGUGGAUAAUCAACUUGUGUUUUUUGCUGCAAGACAAAUCAAAUUGAGAUGUUUUUUUAGAAAUAAAAUCAAUGUGUUUAUACUUUAUUCUUUUUAGUGUAUUCAUUUUCUUUACAACAAAACAAACCAUUUAGUGAUGCUCAAGUAAUUAGAACUUGCUGCAUUGCUUAGCACUGUUCUUGAAUGUCUUGUAUAAUAGAAUGAAGGUAUUUUAAUAGCUUUGGCCACAGCAUACUGUACUGUUUAUGUAAAUGUAAUUAGUAGGCACUUAGUAAAACUAAUGAACACAACACGCUUUUAUAAGGAAACAUCAUUCUUUUAUUUAUUUAUUUAUUUUUCUCUGUUUUUUUAGAAUGUCAGCAUUAAUGUCAAAUAUUAUUGGCUUGAGUUACUUUGUGGCUGAUUGUUGUCUUGUUUUUUAAUAACUUUAAAGUAAAGUUUGAAAUGAAAAGAAUACAAAUAAAUUUUUUUAUUUAUAAGGUUUGGGAUCAAUAAGACUUUUUUAUCCAUUAAGACACAUUAAUUUGGUUAGUAAAUACAUAACAAAACAGACAUUUUCUAUUUCAAAUGAAUCCACAAACUUUUUUUUUUUUUUUGCUUUAGUUAUGCUGUUCUGUUAGAUCGGAAUCAGUUACAAGAUAAAUUAUGCCUUAAAGAGUUGGUCACGCUAAAUGAAUUAGGCCGUAUUUGAAUUAAAUGCUUCAAGUGACCAAUUCAGAUUUUUUUUCUCUUAUGUGGCACAGAUCGGAUAUGUCCCAUGAACUUGUAACCAGGAAAAAAACAAAACAAAUUGAUUCUGAUAUUCUCAGAUGGGUUUCAGGCCUCAUUCAUACAUGGAAAUAAAUCUGAUAUGAUUCGGAUAUAUGCAUUUGCCAUGUAUGCCAUGUAAGCGGACAGAUCAGAUAUUCCCGUCAAUGCAAGUUGUGCAUCAUUGAAAAUGUUGACUCAGUUGGACACCAAACGCGACCACAUGAC
Ctenopharyngodon idella (grass carp) is the source of this 3419-nucleotide long non-coding RNA. RefSeq lists it as uncharacterized. The record is from RefSeq and is a predicted model, not a curated record. Lineage: Eukaryota; Metazoa; Chordata; Actinopteri; Cypriniformes; Xenocyprididae. The transcript has 3 exons.